GCGGGUGUAGUUAAAUGGUAUAACUCCAGCCUUCCAAGCUGGUCUUGUGGGUUCGAUUCCCAUCGCCCGCU
RNAcentral lists this transfer RNA (71 nucleotides) under Planctomycetia bacterium. RNAcentral describes it as "tRNA-Gly". It matches the Rfam family "tRNA". From Rfam's summary of the family: Transfer RNA (tRNA) molecules are approximately 80 nucleotides in length. RNAcentral also lists the same sequence under 1 other name. The record is from RNAcentral. Lineage: Bacteria; Pseudomonadati; Planctomycetota; Planctomycetia.